AUUGAACGCUGGCGGCAGGCCUAACACAUGCAAGUCGAGCGGAUGAAGGGAGCUUGCUCCUGGAUUCAGCGGCGGACGGGUGAGUAAUGCCUAGGAAUCUGCCUGGUAGUGGGGGAUAACGUCCGGAAACGGGCGCUAAUACCGCAUACGUCCUGAGGGAGAAAGUGGGGGAUCUUCGGACCUCACGCUAUCAGAUGAGCCUAGGUCGGAUUAGCUAGUUGGUGGGGUAAAGGCCUACCAAGGCGACGAUCCGUAACUGGUCUGAGAGGAUGAUCAGUCACACUGGAGCUGAGACACGGUCCAGACUCCUACGGGAGGCAGCAGUGGGGAAUAUUGGACAAUGGGCGAAAGCCUGAUCCAGCCAUGCCGCGUGUGUGAAGAAGGUCUUCGGAUUGUAAAGCACUUUAAGUUGGGAGGAAGGGCAGUAAGUUAAUACCUUGCUGUUUUGACGCUACCAACAGAAUAAGCACCGGCUAACUUCGUG
This 484-nucleotide ribosomal RNA is filed under the name uncultured bacterium. RNAcentral describes it as "partial 16S ribosomal RNA". It matches the Rfam family "Bacterial small subunit ribosomal RNA", at positions 30 to 507 of the family's 1533-position model. The record is from RNAcentral.